This 499-nucleotide ribosomal RNA is filed under the name uncultured bacterium. Its description in RNAcentral is "partial 16S ribosomal RNA". It matches the Rfam family "Bacterial small subunit ribosomal RNA", at positions 28 to 507 of the family's 1533-position model. The record is from RNAcentral.
GACGAACGCUGGCGGCGUGCCUAAUACAUGCAAGUCGAGCGAAGUUUUUCUGGUGCUUGCACUAGAAAAACUUAGCGGCGAACGGGUGAGUAACACGUAAAGAACCUGCCUCAUAGACUGGGACAACUAUUGGAAACGAUAGCUAAUACCGGAUAACAGUAUUUCUCGCAUGAGAGAUAUUUAAAAGUUGGUUAUGCUAACACUAUGAGAUGGCUUUGCGGUGCAUUAGCUAGUUGGUGGGGUAAAGGCCCACCAAGGCGACGAUGCAUAGCCGACCUGAGAGGGUGAUCGGCCACACUGGGACUGAGACACGGCCCAGACUCCUACGGGAGGCAGCAGUAGGGAAUCUUCCGCAAUGGGCGAAAGCCUGACGGAGCAACGCCGCGUGAGUGAAGAAGGAUUUCGGCUCGUAAAGCUCUGUUGUUAGGGAAGAAUGGAUAUGUAGUAACUAUACAUGUAAGAGACGGUACCUAACCAGAAAGCCACGGCUAACUACGUG